UACAGAGGUCUCAAGCGUUGUUCGGAUUCAUUGGGCGUAAAGGGUGCGUAGGCGGCGCGGUAAGUCGGGUGUGAAAUCUUGGAGCUUAACUCCGAAACUGCAUUCGAUACUGCCGUGCUUGAGGACUGGAGAGGAGACUGGAAUUUACGGUGUAGCGGCGAAAUGCGUAGAUAUCGUAAGGAAGACCAGUGGCGAAGGCGGGUCUCUGGACAGUUCCUGACGCUGAGGCACGAAGGCCAGGGGAGCAAACGGG
RNAcentral lists this ribosomal RNA (253 nucleotides) under uncultured bacterium. RNAcentral describes it as "partial 16S ribosomal RNA". It matches the Rfam family "Bacterial small subunit ribosomal RNA", at positions 524 to 776 of the family's 1533-position model. The record is from RNAcentral.